CACUGUGAGGUGGAAUUUGAAGGAAGCAGGAUGUCACGAGGGAAAAGACCAACCUGUGGCAUGCAAACCUCUGGACUGACGAACAGGAAUCACAUACAAAGUCUGGAUAUGCGAACGAGAAUCCAUGGCAAUUUCGAAGCCAAAUGCUGCAUGGGGCAUAUCUGGAUAAAUGGGACGGGCACAUGGAGGGAAAGCUG
This 197-nucleotide non-coding RNA is filed under the name uncultured Bulleidia sp. The record is from RNAcentral. Lineage: Bacteria; Bacillati; Bacillota; Erysipelotrichia; Erysipelotrichales; Erysipelotrichaceae.